Molecule: transfer-messenger RNA, 348 nt
Filed under: Ructibacterium gallinarum
Lineage: Bacteria; Bacillati; Bacillota; Clostridia; Eubacteriales; Oscillospiraceae
Description: Standard tmRNA
Rfam family: transfer-messenger RNA
About the family: Bacterial tmRNA, also known as 10Sa RNA or SsrA, is named for its dual tRNA and mRNA-like properties.
Source: Rfam by way of RNAcentral
GGGGAUGUAAAGGUUUCGACGGGGAAGCAGAGACACAAGGAGCGGGCCGCAGCGGGUACUGCGUAAAAAACCCAAACUUAAAAAUAAACGCUAAUAACGAUAAUUUAGCAUACGCUGCCGCUUAGUGCAGCUGUCCGCCCCGGAAUACCGCAGUCCGGGGAGAGGGCAUCAACGAUGCGGUGAACGUGAGCCGGGAAAGCUUUGACCCGGCCAUGAAAGAUGAAGCUACCGGCCGCCGGUGUUUGUCAGUGGACACCGACGGGCGGGAAUACUGACCACUGACUACGCCCGUAGCGCUUUGUGGGGAUGCUUUUUCGGACAGGGGUUCAAUUCCCCUCAUCUCCACCA